CAAAAAAAUAGAAAAUAUUGGUAGAAUGACGGCCAUGACGCAGGAAGAAAUUAUGGCUGGUGCCAGAAUUGUGGCCCAGGGUCUGGAAGCUCUCCGUGUAGAACAUGGAGGACUUCUUCAGGCUUUGCAGACCCAGGAUGCGCCAGUCGCAAGAGACAAAGCUAGUUUAUUAUCAAAGAAUAUUGAGAUGAUAGAAUUAGGCCUUGGGGAGGCACAAGUUAUGAUGGCUCUUGCAAAUCACUUACAAAUGGUAGAGGCUGAGAAACAAAAGCUUAGAACACAAGUAAGAAGGUUGUGCCAAGAAAAUGCCUGGUUAAGAGAUGAAUUGGCUGGUACACAGCAAAAAUUGCAAGCCAGUGAACAAGCACUAGUCCAGUUGGAAGAACAAAAGAAACAUUUAGAUUUUAUGGAAAGCAUGAAGCAGUACGAUCCUGAUCCUUCCGCGGAUGAUGAGAAUGCUAAAGACAGACCGCCAGAUGAUCCUGUAGUUGAUCUAUUCCCCGAUGAUGAUGCGGACGACCGAAAUAGUAAGUCAAUAUCACCGACACCGCCUUCACAAUUUGCACAACAAGUGAAUGCUGGAUACGAGAUACCUGCACGUUUGCGUACGCUGCACAAUUUGGUUAUACAGUACGCGAGCCAAGGCCGCUAUGAAGUAGCUGUUCCCUUAUGCAAGCAAGCAUUGGAGGAUUUGGAAAAAACUUCUGGUCACGAUCAUCCUGAUGUUGCCACAAUGUUGAACAUUCUUGCUUUAGUAUAUAGAGAUCAAAAUAAAUAUAAAGAAGCGGCAAAUUUGUUGAACGAUGCCUUGGCUAUUCGUGAAAAGACGCUUGGUGAAAAUCACCCUGCAGUCGCUGCUACGUUGAAUAAUUUGGCUGUUUUAUAUGGAAAACGGGGCAAAUAUAAGGAGGCUGAGCCGUUGUGCAAACGUGCUCUCGAUAUUCGAGAAAAGGUUCUCGGUCGUGAUCAUCCUGAUGUCGCGAAGCAAUUGAACAAUCUUGCGUUGCUGUGUCAGAAUCAGGGUAAAUACGAAGAGGUAGAACGCUAUUACUUGCGAGCGCUAGAAAUUUAUGAAGGUAAACUGGGACCGGAUGAUCCUAAUGUUGCAAAGACGAAAAAUAAUCUGGCAUCGUGUUACUUGAAGCAAGGAAAAUACAAGGAUGCUGAAGUUUUGUAUAAACAAGUAUUGACUAGAGCACACGAAAAAGAAUUUGGUGCUAUUGCCGGCGAUAAUAAACCAAUUUGGCAGGUUGCGGAAGAAAGAGAAGAAAAUAAGCAUAGAAAUAAAGAGAAUACUCCAUAUGGAGAAUACGGAGGCUGGCAUAAAGCUGCUAAAGUGGAUUCUCCUACAGUUACAACUACCUUAAAAAAUCUUGGUGCAUUAUAUCGAAGACAAGGAAAAUACGAGGCUGCAGAAACAUUAGAAGAUUGUGCUCUUAGGUCACGAAAAGAGCAGACAUUGGAGUUCGUGAAGCAAGGAAAAGUUGCGCAGCUUUUAGGAGAAGAGAAAGGAUCGACGAGACGCGGCUCGCGAUCCAGUUUAGCUAAUAGCGAACACGAGCAACAUGACGAGGGCUCGCUGCCGCUGGUACAAAGGGCGCUACAUGAAGGACAGUCUGGCCACAACGACGCUAGUCCUAACAAACCCGGUUUUAAAAACAAGAUCUUUCAAGCUUUCGGGAUUCAUUCUUCCACGUAGGAUAUUCUUCGUUUGUAGUAUUGCCUGUUCGAUUAAUGCCCGGUCGCACGAUAAUUUUAAAAAAUGCGUAAAAUUGUUUGGGAGAAGUUACAAUUUAGGUAUUUUAGGUUUCGAAG
This 1815-nucleotide unclassified non-coding RNA is filed under the name Apis dorsata (giant honeybee). RNAcentral describes it as "kinesin light chain, transcript variant X6". Lineage: Eukaryota; Metazoa; Arthropoda; Insecta; Hymenoptera; Apidae. The record is from RNAcentral.